GACCCUGAGGACGAAGGAAGGCCCU
Molecule: non-coding RNA, 25 nt
Filed under: Cricetulus griseus (Chinese hamster)
Lineage: Eukaryota; Metazoa; Chordata; Mammalia; Rodentia; Cricetidae
Source: RNAcentral